UUUUCUGUUUUAAUUUAUGUUACUAUUUAUGUACUUUUUUAGGUUGAAUUGUUGUUGGAUUUUUGUCUCCGAUAUCCGAUACCGGCCGCGCCGAACUGUUUUGAAUUGCUGUUGGACCAUCUCCCGGGAGGUGUUUGUUUUGAUUAAGGUUUGUAAUUUACAAAUUAAUUAAGGUCUUUUGAUAUUGCUUAUUUGUUGCGAUAUAUAGUUUAUGAUAUGUUAUGUGUUUUGUUGUGUUGAUUGAUCGAUAUAUAUGUUUGUGAUAUGUUAUGUGUUGAUAUUUUGUUGUAGGUAUUUGCAGAUAUUUGUAAUUAACAUUUGCGGUCGAAAUUCAAGUUGCGCUUUAAUAUUUAUCGAUCGAUUGAUGCAAUAUUUUUUAUUCUUUUUAAAUUAUUCAUUUAUUAAUUAGUUAAUAUAAUUUGCAUGUUAAUUAAAUAAUUGGAAAAUGAAAUGCAUGUUCUUAAAUUGUGUGAAUUUAAAAUGAAUACAAAUUUUUUGAAAUGAAUGCUAUUAAAUAAUGAAAUGCCAUGAGAUGAAUUGAAAUACAUGAGUUAAAAUGAAUGCAUGAGUUAAAAUUAAAUCAAAAUUUAAAUAAAUUUAAAAAUUAGUUAAAUAAAUGUUUAGUAAUUAUUUAUUAAUUGAAAUAAUUAAUAAUUAUUUAAUUAAUUAGGGUUAGGGUUAGUUAGUUAGUUUUUAAAUAAUUGUUGAAUAAAAUAUUGGAAAUUUCAAUAAUCAGUUUUUAUAUUAAGAACUUGAUUUAAAAUCCAAUUUUUAAAACAAUUAUCUAAAAAUUAAAAUCAUUUAUUUAAUUAAUAAUUAAAAAAAGUGACAAUCAGAAUUUCUCCGUGGAUGUGUAUGAAACAACUCAAUUGUUAAACAAAUUAUGAAAAAACGCUUAUAACGGUUUAAUAGAUAAACAUAAUUUCUAGAAUUAUCAAAGACAAUCGGGCAAAACAAACUUCAUUCAAUUUAGGUUUGAAAAGUCUAACACAACGAAAUUACGAAGUUGUAAGUAAAUUAUUUAAUUUCAUAUAUACUUCAAUUUUUUUUCUUUUUAUUUUUAAUAUUUCAUAAACAAAAAGGAUUAUCUGAACUUGAAAUUUGGAAACAAAAUAUAAAAGCAGUUUAUCCAAAAGACGAACGAGUGAUUCGUAAUUUUAUUUAUUAAUUACAGUUAAUUACUAUUUUUUGACUGUUUUCAUUUUUUUUAAGGAUAAAACGUUUUAAUGGAUAGAAAGUGAUGAAGCAAAAAAUAUAGUUGAACAAGAAAAUAUGACGGUCACGGUAUUUCAUUUUUUUCCAUAUAAUUAAUUAAAGAAUUUUACAUUAUUUUCAUCUUAUUUUUUUAAUUAUGCUCUCGUCAACUUUGCUAUAACCGAACAUAUUGGUAGAAGCUCGAAGAAAAUUAGAUUAUUAGGAACAACUGAUUGCUCAUUUAGCAAAAAGACAACGAAUCGGAUGAAUGUGAGAAACUUUUCAACAGAUAAAGGAGAACGUUCUAUAACCGAAGAUGAGGUUGAUAAUAAGGUUAACGAGGCAGUCGAGAAGACAAUGACUAGUCAGAAUGAAACGAUG
RNAcentral lists this long non-coding RNA (1575 nucleotides) under Zostera marina. Its description in RNAcentral is "long non-coding RNA (ZMAR_LNC001689)". Lineage: Eukaryota; Viridiplantae; Streptophyta; Magnoliopsida; Alismatales; Zosteraceae. The record is from RNAcentral.